RNAcentral lists this ribosomal RNA (460 nucleotides) under uncultured bacterium. RNAcentral describes it as "partial 16S ribosomal RNA". It matches the Rfam family "Bacterial small subunit ribosomal RNA", at positions 338 to 795 of the family's 1533-position model. The record is from RNAcentral.
CCUACGGGUGGCAGCAGUGAGGAAUAUUGGUCAAUGGGCGUAAGCCUGAACCAGCCAAGUCGCGUGAGGGAUGAAGGUUCUAUGGAUCGUAAACCUCUUUUAUAAGGGAAUAAAGUGUGGGACGUGUCCUCUGUUGUAGGUACCUUAUGAAUAAGGAUCGGCUAACUCCGGGCCAGCAGCCGCGGUAAUACGGAGGAUCCGAGCGUUAUCCGGAUUUAUUGGGUUUAAAGGGUGCGUUGGCGGCCUUUUCAGUCAGCGGUUAAAGUCUGUGGCUCAACCAUAGAAUUGCCGUUGAAACUGGGGGGCUUGCGUAUGCUUGAGGCAGCCGGAAUGCGUGGUGUAGCGGUGAAAUGCUUAGAUAUCACGCAGAACCCCGAUUGCGAAGGCAGCCUGCCAAGCCAUGACUGACGCUGAUGCACGAAAGCGUGGGGAUCAAACAGGAUUAGAUACCCCAGUAGUC